Molecule: ribosomal RNA, 438 nt
Filed under: uncultured Pelotomaculum sp.
Lineage: Bacteria; Bacillati; Bacillota; Clostridia; Eubacteriales; Desulfotomaculaceae
Description: bacterial SSU rRNA
Rfam family: Bacterial small subunit ribosomal RNA
Source: RNAcentral
AAUUCGACGCAACGCGAAGAACCUUACCAGGGCUUGACAUCCCCUGACCGCGUAUGAAAGUACGUUUUCACCCUCGGGUGACAGGGAGACAGGUGGUGCAUGGUUGUCGUCAGCUCGUGUCGUGAGAUGUUGGGUUAAGUCCCGCAACGAGCGCAACCCCUACGUUUAGUUGCUAACGCGUGAAGGCGAGCACUCUAGACGAACUGCCGUUGACAAAACGGAGGAAGGUGGGGAUGACGUCAAAUCAUCAUGCCCCUUAUGUUCUGGGCUACACACGUGCUACAAUGGCCGGUACAGACGGACGCAAAGCCGCGAGGUGGAGCAAAUCCUAAAAAAGCCGGUCUCAGUUCGGAUUGCAGGCUGCAACUCGCCUGCAUGAAGCCGGAAUCGCUAGUAAUCGCGGAUCAGCACGCCGCGGUGAAUACGUUCCCGGGCCUU